RNAcentral lists this ribosomal RNA (253 nucleotides) under uncultured bacterium. RNAcentral describes it as "partial 16S ribosomal RNA". It matches the Rfam family "Bacterial small subunit ribosomal RNA", at positions 524 to 776 of the family's 1533-position model. The record is from RNAcentral.
UACGGAGGAUCCGAGCGUUAUCCGGAUUUAUUGGGUUUAAAGGGAGCGUAGGCGGGUUGUUAAGUCAGUUGUGAAAGUUUGCGGCUCAACCGUAAAAUUGCAGUUGAUACUGGCAUCCUUGAGUACAGUAGAGGUAGGCAGAAUUCGUGGUGUAGCGGUGAAAUGCUUAGAUAUCACGAAGAACUCCGAUUGCGAAGGCAGCCUGCUGGACUGUAACUGACGCUGAUGCUCGAAAGUGUGGGUAUCAAACAGG